UUAACAGAAGCCAAAAAGAGGCAUAUCACUGUUAAUGAUAUUAAUGAAAUUUUUUUUCCUGUUAAG
Molecule: transfer RNA, 66 nt
Filed under: Pisidia serratifrons
Lineage: Eukaryota; Metazoa; Arthropoda; Malacostraca; Decapoda; Porcellanidae
Description: tRNA-Asn
Source: RNAcentral